This is a long non-coding RNA of Ahaetulla prasina, 1580 nucleotides long. RefSeq lists it as uncharacterized. NCBI's taxonomy places the organism in Eukaryota, Metazoa, Chordata, Lepidosauria, Squamata, Colubridae. The transcript has 3 exons. The record is from RefSeq and is a predicted model, not a curated record.
UCCAGCCGGGCCCCGCUUGGUUUGCACCUUGAGGGUGUUAGGGGUGGGGGUGGGGGGUGGGGAGAACGGCAGCUACCACUUAGCGCUUCAAAGGAGGGGAGUGGAUGCUUCCUGAUGCCAGCCAGCCAACCAGCUAAAAGCCCCGUUUUGCCUUCGCUUCAGCUCUGCUUUCAGAGGAGGAGGGAGGUUCCCCCCUAAAACACCCACCUUUGGUGGGAUGUGAAUAGAGGCCACAGGCAUUGCCCGUUCUCUUCUUUCCCCUUCCCCUCCCUAUCAGCUGACGUUGGUAUUGUCUAUGCCCGUUCACCUGCCUGAAGGGAAAGGACUGCAGGUUGCAGAACCGUCCAUGGAAAGGGUGCAAGCGGAUUUAACAGCUUGGUCAGUUGUCCUAACAGUGUUGCAGAGGAUAUGUGGGUCCUAUGCACUUCAUUGCUGCUGCUCCUUUGCAGAAAGACAUAAUUUCUGUAGCACCUGUCGCUUUAUAAGUGCCUGAGCUCCCAGGUUUAGUGAUGAACCUCAAUGGAUGUAUCUGCACAAUGCCCGAAACCCAAUGUCAACAGCUCAACGUACAGUUUAUGAACCAGGACAAGCAUCUAUGCAGCCUUACCCAUUAUCUUCCCCGUUAAAGCUCUCCUAUCUGAGCCGCAAGAAUCCAGAUGCCCUUGGGGUUGGCAGCAAAGAAUUAGAUUUCUCCUUAUGACUGAUGCCAACCUGAGGUCUGGAUUUUUGCAACUCAGAACUGAUUGCCAUUCCUGCAAAUAAGAGAAGGACUGCAUCAUACUGCUUCCAUCAGCUUCCUCUCUCAUUGUCACUGAACAGGAAUAAUAACGAUCUUUCAACAUGUCCUUAAAGCAUCCACUUAUAAGGUUUUUUAACCACCCAAACUAAUAAGUUCCUAGACAUUACUUAUUUUAGUUUUUAAUACUUAAUCUGCUUUUUUUUCAGACUGAUGCUGCCAGAGUGAGUGACGCAUCAUUAAAAACAAUCCCUGACUUUAGAUUCACCUGGUACUCUACAACAUUGGAUGCUUUCCAGGGUGGACAAAAACGACAUCAUGCACCAUCAUGACAAAAAUGCGCAAGUGAUAUAUUUUGCAUCACUGUUGCAACUACAGUGAAGAGUGAAGAGGACUAAGAUUUGUUCAAGAACUCUAUCUGAUCAUAGUCCGGUUUGGAUUGAAUUUGAUCGGGAAAAGGAGGCUAGGAGAUCAUGGAGGUUGAAUGAGAAUUUGUUUAAAUAUGAACAAAAUGUAAAUGAAUGUAAAAAGCAAAUGAAAGAAUUUUUUUUUAUGAAUAUGAAAAAAGAGACAUCUAUAGAGAUGAUUUGGGACUCCAGCAAGGCUUAUAUGAGAGGAAAUCUUAUACAAAUGAAUAUUAAAUACAAAAAUAAAUUGCAGAAAAAGAAAAAGGAACUGGAAGAGGAAAUUAAAAAGAAAGAACAAUUAUUGAUAAAUAGCCCAGGAAAUAGUAAAAUAAAAGAAUCAAUAAAUAUAUUAAGAGGUCAGUUUAAUAUGUUGAUGGCAGAUCAAGUAGCAAUUAAUUUACAAUAUGUAAAACAUAAUACGUUUAAUAAUGCCAAUA